CCUACGGGCGGCAGCAGUGGGGAAUAUUGGGCAAUGGGCGCAAGCCUGACCCAGCAACGCCGCGUGAAGGAAGAAGGCUUUCGGGUCGUAAACUUCUUUUGUCAGGGACGAAGCAAGUGACGGUACCUGACGAAUAAGUCACGGCUAACUACGUGCCAGCAGCCGCGGUAAUACGUAGGUGGCAAGCUUUAUCCGGAUUUACUGGGUGUAAAGGGCGGGUAGGCGGGACUUCAAGUCAGAUGUGAAAACCACGGGCUCAACCUGUGGCCUGCAUUGGAAACUGUAGUUCUUGAGUACUGGAGAGGCAGACGGAAUUCCAAGUGUAGCGGUGAAAUGCGUAGAUAUUAGGAGGAACACCAGUGGCGAAGGCGAUCUGCUGGACAGCAACUGACGCUGAGGCGCGAAAGCGUGGGGAGCAAACAGGAUUAGAUACCCUUGUAGUC
Molecule: ribosomal RNA, 443 nt
Filed under: uncultured bacterium
Lineage: Bacteria
Description: partial 16S ribosomal RNA
Rfam family: Bacterial small subunit ribosomal RNA
Source: RNAcentral